RNAcentral lists this ribosomal RNA (255 nucleotides) under uncultured bacterium. RNAcentral's name for it is "partial 16S ribosomal RNA". It matches the Rfam family "Bacterial small subunit ribosomal RNA", at positions 1 to 253 of the family's 1533-position model. The record is from RNAcentral.
UCAGAGUUUGAUCUGGCCAGGAUGAACGCUAGCUACAGGCUUAACACAUGCAAGUCGAGGGGCAUCAGUUUGGUUUGCUUGCAAACCAAAGCUGGCGACCGGCGCACGGGUGAGUAACACGUAUCCAACCUGCCUCAUACUCGGGGAUAGCCUUUCGAAAGAAAGAUUAAUAUCCGAUAGCAUAUAUUUCCCGCAUGGGUUUUAUAUUAAAGAAAUUCGGUAUGAGAUGGGGAUGCGUUCCAUUAGUUUGUUGGG